CUACCAAAAGUUAACUUUUUGUGGGUAAGGUUUAUUAAGUAACCUUUACCAGCUUGGGCUAUUUGGAAAAAUAAAAUAAAGACCACGCUCCACAGUGGACUAUACCACUUAUAGUUUGCUACUAUUUUGUGGCCUACAUU
Molecule: small nucleolar RNA, 140 nt
Organism: Saimiri boliviensis boliviensis (Bolivian squirrel monkey)
Lineage: Eukaryota; Metazoa; Chordata; Mammalia; Primates; Cebidae
Source: Ensembl